This 467-nucleotide ribosomal RNA is filed under the name uncultured bacterium. RNAcentral's name for it is "partial 16S ribosomal RNA". It matches the Rfam family "Bacterial small subunit ribosomal RNA", at positions 28 to 507 of the family's 1533-position model. The record is from RNAcentral.
GACGAACGCUGGCGGCGUGCUUAACACAUGCAAGUCGAACGGAAAGGCCUCUUUCGGGGGGUACUCGAGUGGCGAACGGGUGAGUAACACGUGAGUAACCUGCCCUUGACUUUGGGAUAACUUCAGGAAACUGGGGCUAAUACCGGAUAGGAGCUCCUGCUGCAUGGUGGGGGUUGGAAAGUUUCGGCGGUUGGGGAUGGACUCGCGGCUUAUCAGCUUGUUGGUGGGGUAGUGGCUUACCAAGGCUUUGACGGGUAGCCGGCCUGAGAGGGUGACCGGCCCCAAUGGGACUGAGAGACGGACCAGACUCCUACGGGAGGCAGCAGUGGGGAAUAUUGCACAAUGGGUGCGAGCCAGAUGCAGCGACGCCGGGGGCGGGAUGACGUCCUUAGGGUUGUGAAACGCUUUCGCUCAUGACGAAGCUUUGUGUGACGGUAGUGGGUAAAGAAGCACCGGCUAACUACGUG